Long non-coding RNA from Suricata suricatta (meerkat), 1093 nucleotides. RefSeq lists it as uncharacterized. Lineage: Eukaryota; Metazoa; Chordata; Mammalia; Carnivora; Herpestidae. The transcript is spliced from 5 exons. The record is from RefSeq and is a predicted model, not a curated record.
GACCGAUGCUCCCAAAGGCCUGCGGACCCAGAGUCCAGGCCCACCCUAUUUGUCCUGAGUGCCUGGCUGGCCUCUAUGGGCCCAGAAUACAGAUCCCAGAUCCAUCACGAUAGACUCAAGGGCCAGGCUCACCUCAGUGAACCUAGUCUCCAGGCCUGCUCCUACAUAGCCAGACGGCAGGCUGAGCUCCAUGUAUUAAAAUACCAGGUGGGUCCAUCUGCAGACCCAGGCACCAGAUCCACCUGCUUAAGGACUCCAAGAGCAAGUCCAUCUGUGGACACCACCAGACUCUGUGGAGGGGCUGACUGCUCAAGGGCUUUGCCUGCAAAAGUCAGCCUACAAAACUUAGAGGUACCUACAUCCUCGAAUGUGCAGACGCCAACACAGUGACACAAGGAUUGUGCUUAUCAUGGGAACAUGAUACCACCAAACAAAACUAAAACUCCAAAGAUUGUCCCCAAAGAAUUGGACAUCUAUGAAUUGUCUGAGGAACUCAAAAAUAAUCCCCUUAAAGAAAUCCAAUAAACUAUUAUUUUUUAAUUUAUUGUAUUUGCUGGGGGUGAACAGAUUCUGAUAGAUUCUGCCCUGCUGGUUCUGCCAAACAUGCCUAAGAGUGUCAGCAGAGCUCCCACUUGACCCACCCAAGAAGCCUGCCUGAUCUGCUGGACUGGCAAUUCGAAAUGUCAAGACUGGUCUGUCGUCUUCUUCCGUGUUGUUGUGUUGUUCUUCUAGUCCUCAGGGAAGAAAAUUUGGCAGAAAAUGGUGAAGAUAUCAACAGAAGCAUAACAAAGAGGAAUACAAACCACUCCUCCCCAACACAUGCUGGCUCUCACUCUCUAUGAAAGAAAGAAAGAAAGAAAAAGAAGAAAGAAAGAAAGAAGAAAGAAAAAAAGAAAAAGAAAGAAAGAGACAAAGGAAGAAAGGGAGGAAAAAAGGAAGGAAGGAAGGAAGGAAGAAUGGAAGAAUGAAUGAGUUUUGGUCAGUUAGAAAUAGUGAAACGUAUAUUCAGGAAUAUUCUGGUAAAAUGCAGUUCCUGUUUUCUUGAUUGGAGCAUGACAGAGAGAGACCGAGCAUGAGUGGGGGAGGGGCAGAG